RNAcentral lists this unclassified non-coding RNA (1645 nucleotides) under Hevea brasiliensis (rubber tree). The record is from RNAcentral. Lineage: Eukaryota; Viridiplantae; Streptophyta; Magnoliopsida; Malpighiales; Euphorbiaceae.
AUAGUUGCUGCUCAUUCCCUCUCAUCAGCUCCUUUUUCUAAUGAAAAUUGAACCUCGUUUUGUCUUUGUCUCUCCUCUCCAGUAGCCGCAUCUUUCCUAUUUAUAUACGGUGCAAGGUUAUUGACUCACUGCAUGCAUAUUUAUAUAUGAAAGAAUGGGAUAUAAAGAGCUUAUGAUAAGAAGCUACGACAUGCAAAAGGAUAGAGCUCGAGUAGAAGAUCUUGAGAGAAGAUGUGAGGUAGGCCCAACUGAAAGAGCGGUUCUCUUCACAGAUACUAUGGGUGACCCAAUCUGUAGAAUCAGAAAUAGUCCGAUGUAUAAGAUGCUGGUAGCAAAGUUGGGAGACGAACUGGUUGGUGUCAUUCAAGGCUCUAUAAAGCUUGUAGCCCUUCAUCAUAACCCUCAUAAUGAUCUUGCGAAGCUGGGCUACAUCUUAGGCUUGAGAGUAGCGCCCUCUCAUCGGCGAAAAGGGAUUGGAUUGAGGCUAGUACUCAAACUAGAAGAAUGGCUCAUUGCAAAUGAUGUUGAUUAUGCGUACAUGGCGACAGAGAAAGACAAUGAAGCUUCGGUUGAGCUCUUCAUGAACAAACUCAAUUAUGUCAAGUUCUUGACACCAGCUAUUCUAGUAAAUCCAGUUAAUUAUAGAACAUUACCUAUAUCAUCAAGCAUUGAGGUAGCAAAGGUCCAGCCUGAAAAAGCUGAGCUACUAUAUCGCAAAUUCAUGACUUCAACUGAGCUCUUUCCCGACGACAUAGGCAAUAUACUAACUAAUAAGUUAAGCUUGGGGACUUGGGCGGCUUAUCCUAGAGGUGAAUCAUGGGGUGAUUUUGGUUCGGAUGGAAAAUUUCCAAGCAAUUGGGCUGUUCUUAGUGUAUGGAACAGUGGAGAACUGUUCAAGCUCAGGCUAGGGAAAGCACCCUUACCUUGCUUAUUAUACACAAAGAGCUCCAGGCUGAUUGGUAAAAUGUUUCCUUGCUUUAAACUGCCAACAAUACCUGAUUUUUUUCAGCCAUUUGGAUUCUACUUCAUGUAUGGAGUGCACCAUGAAGGACCCUCAUCGGGAAAGCUGGUUCGUGCCUUGUGCAAAUUUGUUCACAACAUGGCUAAAAGGAACAAGGAUUGUAAAGUUGUUGUAACAGAAGUUGGAGGUAGCGACAUCCUAAGGCUUCACAUCCCACACUGGAAAUCACUCUCUUGUCCAGAAGAUUUGUGGUGCAUAAAGGCCUUGAAAAAUGAAGAGAAGAUCUUUGAUGAAUUGACAAAAACCCCACCAACAACAUCUCUUUUUGUAGACCCAAGAGAGGUUUGAACAAGAAAUUAAAAUAUCCCUGACCUUACGCCUUCCUGCUUCAGGCCAAACCCCACUUCAUGUAUUGUUAGAUAAGUCCAUCCAUCUCUCUUUGUGGGGGCUUUCCUCUUGUUCCUUUCACAUCGGUGACACAAAAUCUCAAAAGAUUUCCUUAGUUAGGUGCCACCCUCUUUGUCCUUCUUCUCAACUCCAAUUUCGCAACCUCAUGAUCUUGACUAAUCAAGAAGCUCGGUGGUCCAUCUUUGUCUCUUUCCCUUUGGGUAAAAAUGUCCCAAUGGACCAUCCCCUUCCUUAAUUUGUCGCCUCUGCAUAUAGCUGAGCUCUUUAACAUGCACG